GACUUAUGUAUUCUAGUUAAAAAUAAAUGGGUCAGUGAACCUGGCUGUUAACCAAGAGGUUGGUGGUUCGAGCCCACCCAAGGAUGGCU
Molecule: non-coding RNA, 89 nt
Organism: Podarcis lilfordi (Lilford's wall lizard)
Lineage: Eukaryota; Metazoa; Chordata; Lepidosauria; Squamata; Lacertidae
Source: the annotation of a GenBank genome assembly